Molecule: long non-coding RNA, 837 nt
Organism: Salvia miltiorrhiza (redroot sage)
Lineage: Eukaryota; Viridiplantae; Streptophyta; Magnoliopsida; Lamiales; Lamiaceae
Exons: 2
Source: RefSeq, a predicted model, not a curated record
AUAAAUAAAAACAAAACAAAAAAACGCGUUUUGAAUAAUUCAGAUAAUGAAUUAUGGACGAAAAAGGGCUUAAAGGGAAAUUUACAUUCCCUAGUAAUCUCGAAUAUUCGAUCAAAUCCCGAUUUCCACUCUUCAACUUCUCCUCUUCGUGGUUAAUGUAGGGUAAAUUAGAGUAGAAUUUCUGAAGACAAAAAAUCAAAAUUUCAGCCACUUUUGUCACGAAUCGAAGAGAAACUGAAGAAAUAGUUCAUCAUUGCUGCCGGAAAAAAUAAGAUCGAAGAAGCGGCGAGGCCUAUCGUUGACACUGAAUUAGGGCUCCUUUCGUUUGGAGUUUUGGGAACAGGGAAAAAUUGGGAUAUGGAACCUCGUUGUCGCCUCUGGAAGGAUUUGUCCGGCAAGAUCUCUGAGAAUUGACUCAGCGCCACACUCCUUCUCAGCCCCGUCGUCGGCACCUAUUCAUAUGUGCAGUAGGACCUGAAAAAGGAGAAGAUGGAGCACAGAUACUGAAGUUAGUUAUCAAUACUCGAAUUAUCUGUGACUCUGAAAAGCUCUCUACCAUCUAGUUUUACUGGAAAAUAAGCUGAUAUGUAUUGCCUUCUGGUUGCUGGUUUUGGAUUCUGAAUUUAUCUUUGGAUUUGCAGUCAGUUUCUUUUUUAUGCGUGGAAAUGUUCAUGUAUUUCGUGUAUGCUACAAAAUUGUCUGCCUUCAAUGUUGGCAUUUAAGUUCUCUUUUUGUGGGUCAGAGUAUGUGGUUCUGUCAAAAUUUCUUGUUUAGCAUGUUAUAACUUCAUUGGUAUUCACUGAGCUGCUUUUCAUAUAUGCCAAUGCAUAUUCAUGU